UCAAAAUCUAAAAUAAAAAUAAAAAUCAUCCCACGCUUUCUAAUAAUAGUCUAAUCAUAUAAUUCUAUUUUUUAAUAAAAUAAAUAACAUUAAGCGAAAAUAAUAAAAUCAUCGAUCCUAUUAAAGAUAGCACUUUUAAGUUAUACUAUAUUAUCUAUAAGGAUAUUUACAUUAAAUAAUCAAUGUCACACAAUUGCAACAAUCAAAUUUAAAUAAAAAAUUACAAAAAUCAAAUGAAUUUUUUUUAGGUUUUCCUUCUAAUUAAGUGCUCAUUACAUUUCUUUCCCACGAAAUAUAGUUAUUAUUACGGGAUUUUUAUCAAAAUAUUACAAACAAAAAAAAUACCAAAAUAUUAUAUAAUUUUUAUUCUUUACCAAAAUAAUACAAAAAACAGAAAAAAAAGCUGCGAUUGACGUGACAACACAGGGGAGAAGGGGGUGCCAUAGGCGACACCAGUUGUGCCCCUGUCAGAGGCAGCACCGAUGGUGCCCCUCCCACAGGCGGCAGUGCCUAUUUAUGGGGUCAUUCAGCUGGUGGGUGGGGGGAAGAGAAGGAGAAGGAAAGAAGAAGAAAGAAAGAAAGAAAAGGAAAGGAGAGGAAAGAAAGAAAAAGAAGGAAAGAAAAGGAAAUGGGAAGAAAAAAGAAAGAAAAAGAAGGAAAGAAAAGGAAAGGAGAAGAAAAAAAAAGAAAGAAGAAGACGGAAGGAAGGAAAAAGAAAAAGAAAAAGAAAAAGAAGGUAAUUUUUGUUUUAUUAAUUUAAUUUUUUUGGUAAUAUUUGUGUAAAAAAUUUAUGUUAUGUAUAUGUGUUUUAUUCUUUUAUUUAGCAUAUAUUUAUUAUGAAAUUUAUUUAGCAUGAAAAAAUCCAUGUUAUGUACAUUGUAUGUUGAUUAGGAAUUUUUUUUUAUGAAAUUUAUUUAGGAUGUUGUAAUUAGUUUUUUUAGAAAAAUAGCAUUAAAAAUAAAAUGAUAAAAAAAUAUGUUUAAGAAAACAUAAAAUACGAAAAGAAAAAAAACGGAAAUUGUAUAUUCACCAAUAGUAAAAAAAUUCGAAAAAUGGUAUAUUUAAAAAACACACUAAAUUAAUAAAUUUCAACCAUAAUGUACUAAAAUAAUGUAAAAUAAUAAAAUUAUAAAUUAUGAUAUUUUUUAAAGUAAUAAAAAGCGGAGAAAAAAAUACGAACAAAUGGCCGAAGUAAGAGUGUUUUACUAAAUUUUUUAAAAAUUCAGAAAUAAUUAAUACAAAUAUUUCAAACAAAAUAUACUGAAAUAAUAUAAAAUAAUAAAAUACGAAAAUAAUAUAUUUUUCUUAAAAGUAAUAAAAUUCGGGAAAAUAAUACGAGCAAAGGGCAGGAAUAAAGGGUUUUUUUACACUAAAUUAAUUUAAAAACACACUAAAUUAAUAAAAUUCAAACAUAAUGCACUGAAAUAAUAUAAAAUUAUAAAAUUAGAAAUUAUGAUAUUUUUUAAAGUAAUAAAAAGCGGAGAAAAAAAUACGAACAAAGGCCGAAGUAAUAGUCUUUUACUAAAUUUUUUAAAAAUUUUGAAAUAAUUAAUACAAAUAUUUCAAACAAAAUGUACUAAAAUAAUAUAAAAUAAUAAAAUACGAAAAUAAUAUAUUUUUAUUGAAAGUAAUAAAAUUCAGGAAAAUAAUACGAGCAAAGGGCAGGAAUAAGGGUUUUUUUACACUAAAUUAACUUUAAAAACACACUAAAUUAAUAAAAUUCAAACAUAAUGCACUGAAAUAAUGUAAAAUUAGAAAAUUAGAAAAUAUGAUAUUUUUUAAAGUAAUAAAAUGAGGAGAAAAAAAUACGAAAAAAGGGUCGAAGUAAGAGUCUUUUACUAAAUUUUUUAAAAAUUCGGGAAAAUAGUACAAAUAAAUGGCUGAAAUGAGAGUUUUUUACUAACGUUUUUUUGAAUUUGCAGGCAUCGCAAUGGCUCCAUUGAUUCAACUCGGUAGAUGCAUAUCUGAUGCGGCUAAUAACGCGG
RNAcentral lists this long non-coding RNA (1985 nucleotides) under Gossypium barbadense (sea-island cotton). RNAcentral describes it as "long non-coding RNA (GBAR_LNC020173)". Lineage: Eukaryota; Viridiplantae; Streptophyta; Magnoliopsida; Malvales; Malvaceae. The record is from RNAcentral.